Molecule: long non-coding RNA, 4268 nt
Organism: Dreissena polymorpha
Lineage: Eukaryota; Metazoa; Mollusca; Bivalvia; Myida; Dreissenidae
Exons: 4
Source: RefSeq, a predicted model, not a curated record
UUCGGACGUGUUUUUCGAAGCUCUCGACGUCGUACUCAGUAUAAAUUGAACUGGGCUGGCAAAGAACGCUCAGUUGCGACUUUGAAAUUGACCGUUACGGACGUGUUUUUUAUGCGCUCUUUUUUUUACAUUGACUUAAUCUUAGUUCAAUGAAAGACUUUGACAAAGACGGACGUACUUUCGUGAGCUCUGACUAUUGAUGAAAAGUUUUGAGUUUAACUGACUUGUACUUUGAGAGUUAAAUUGACUUCGCGUUAUAGAAUAGCGACUUGGUACUCGGGUUAUGGAAUUACUGGUGGACUGCAGUGUUAGGGUAUUGUCAUGAGAUGACGGCUUGACUUUUACUUGCGUUGUGAAAUGAAAUCAUACUCUUAUGCGAUGUUAACUUUUGAACGUUUAGUAUUGACUGACAACGAACUUUUGUGAGCGUUAUAUAUGAAAUGUUUGACUUACAUUAAUUUUUUUGAACGACUUGACUUCACUUUAAGUUUUGACAUCGGACUGAUCGGACGUGUUUUUUUAAGCCCUGACUGUUGUGAAUAAUUAAAUUUAUGUUGUGGUGUCAAGCGAUUGACUGUCAGUUGAGGUUCAGAUGUCGAGCUGUGCGGACGUGUUCAUCGAGCUGCUGUCUACAAAAAACGGGGCUGUGGUGAGUAUUGUAGUAUAAAUUUGUUUCAAUAAAUCAUGAUGAAUGAAAACUGAUUUCGAUUCGUUUUGUACAGGUUUACUUGUAUAGAAGUGUAAUGCGUUGGGUAGAAAUUACUCAGUACUGAUAUAGUGUCGAUAUGUUGUGAUUAGCGAUGAUGGUGUAUGAUGGUGGAACAGAAUAUGAGCUUCUUUGGGGAAACGAACAUAUGAUUGAAAAAAAUUUGCAAACAUAGUAGAUAAAUGAUAUGAUAUUGCUUAAAUUGUAUUUGCAUGCUGUAACAUUUCUAUUUCAUUUCAGGGUGCUGUGGUGAGUACUGUAGAUUGUAGUGCAUAUGUAUAGAAUUCAAUAAAAGAUUAUGACUGAAAACUGCUUUUGAUUCUUAUUGUACAGUUUUAGGGAUUAUAAGUCUAUAGCAACUCUGUCGGUUGGUGUUCAUGAGUGUGAGCUUAAUACAGCAAUGUUUGAGUAGUACAAAAAUGUUUUCGCUUUUGUGGUCGCCAGCUGUCCGUGAUCUGUAAAGUGAAAAUACACAGAGCUAUGAAGCAUACAAAUGUUUCGAAAUUUUAUCAAUGAUUGUAUACUAUGCAUGUUUUGAUUUAGUUCGUUUCAGAUUUGACAUGAAAUGUAGACCUGACAUUUGAACAGAGCUGGGAAACGAAAAGAUUUUCAGAUGUGUGCUGGCAGUUCAAGUCUGGCAGCUGAAGUGAACAGUCGUGUUUUCUGGAGCUCCAACAAUAUGCUAGAAGGUAAGUAACUAUGUUUGUUUUGCAUUGCAUGUUUUUAUAUGUUUCAGACUUUCAAGCAGAGAUGUCAUGCUGACUGGAGUUGAGCACAGGGCAGUGACAAAGUAAAAGGUAAGUACUUUUGACUGAAUGUUUGUUCUAUGCAUGUUUUGUUUUAAUACAUUUCAGGAGUGCUUAUCCAGUGAUGAUAUGACAGUUGGAGUGAACAGUGGAGCCAAGCAGUCUUGUUUUUAGAGCUACUCAACAAGCCUUGAAGGUAAGUUUAGAAUUUCUCAAUGUUAGUGAAUUGAAGUACUGUCACUUGCUUUUGGACAGUCGAACAGAACAGACGUGGUUGCGAGAGCUCUCAUAUCUGUUGUGUUAAACUGUUUUUAUGAUAUGUUAUGUUUGUUUGUUUGUUUGUGAUGUACUAUUUUUCAGAUGCUGAUGGCAGUGAUGGGUUUUCAAGCUGACCUGAACAGAAAAGCACUCAUAUGGUAAGUACAAAAUAGUUGUUAUAUGGGAUGUUUUGUGCAUGCUUUUAUGUUUCAGGUGUACUUGCUGACAGCGACGAAGACGAAUCAAGAAGAGGAACAUUGUUGAGAAAGUGAUUGGGACUUGCAAACAGGGUAAGUGUAACACUUGUGUUUGUUUAAUUUGUAACAUGCGUGCUUUGCUCUGUUUCAGAUUUCACAUGCAGAAAUUAAACAGGAUUUCAACUGCUGAGACACAAUUCAUCAAAAGUAAGGUAAGUUUUAAUUCAUUGAUUUGAGUUGUACAAUGUGUUCUUUACUUUAUUUCAGAUUCGAGUCACUGGUUUACACAUGGAAGAAGAUUUCCACGUCUGUUACUCAACUCUACAGAAGCAAGAUGUUUUGUUUCAGUUGAUGUCCAGAUGGCAAGCAGAACAGACGUGUUUCUUGGAUCUGCCAAACAGUGAGUACAAACGUUUUAUAUUUUUCAGUUGUGUACUCAUAGAAGUCUGUGAAAGAUGAUAGCAAGGGUAGAAUCUAUCAGCACUUGUGUCUAAAAAUGCUGAUGUGUGAUGGUUUACUGAAAGGGGUAAAUGCUAGCCAGUACUUACACUUGAGCAACCGUGGGAUGUCGAACUAACUGAUGAUGUACUAUGAUGGUGAACACUUACUUUGUGUAUCGAAAUGCUUUUGUUGAUAUUUACUAAAUAUUGAUUGACAUUUGUUUGCAUGCUGUUAACAUUUCUAUUUCAUUUCAGUUGGCUGUGGUGAGUAUUGUAGUAUUAAUUUGUCUCAAUAAACGAUGAUGAAUGAAAACUGAUGUCGAUUCUUUUUGUACAGUUUUAGGUAUUAGCACUCUAUACAAAACUCUGUCGGUCGGUGUUUGUGAAUGUGAGCUUAAUGUUUGAGUAGAACAAAAAUGUCUUUACUUUUGUGAUCGCCAGUUGUCUGUGAUGUAAAGUGGAAAAAAACACAGCUAUGAAGCAUACAAUUGUUUCAAUAUUUUAUCAAUGAUAGUGUGCUAUGCAUGUUUUGAUUUAGUUCGUUUCAGAUAUGACAUGACAUGAAGAGUUGACAGUCGAACAGAGCUGAGCAAUGCAGAAAGGUAAGUGUGUUUCAUUUUAGUAUGAACACUUGUAUUUUGUUUUUAUAUGGUAUGUUUUGUGCAUGCUAUGUUUCAGGUGUACUUGUAGUCAGCGACGAAGACGAUUCAAGAAGAGGAACAUUGCUGAGAAAGUGAAUGGGACUUGCAAACAGGGUAAGUGUAACAAUUGUGUUUGUUUAAUUUGUAACAUGCGUGCUUUGCUCUGUUUCAGAUUUCACAUGCAGAAAUGGUCUCAUAGCAGUGCCAACAGUGAAUAAGGAUUUCAGCUGCUGUGAAACAACUCAACAGAAAGUAGGUAAGCAUUGAAUGAAUGCACUUGAGUUGUACAAUUUGAUGUGAUGCUUUUCUCUGUUUCAGAUUCAAGUUCCUGGUGUAGACAGAGAAAUGUGUUUGAAGAAGGAAUUCUACUACUGUGAUUCAACUCUACAGAAGCAAGGUAAGUAGAAACACAAUUUUGGUUUAAUUUAACUCAUGUGUUUUGCACUGCAUGCUAUUUUUCAGGUCUCUCAUGCAGUGAUGCAAAAGAAGAAGAUUUCAAGAAAGAAUCACUGCUGCAACUCAGGCCUAUAACAAGGUAAGUGUUUACUAUAUUGUAUACAAAAUGUUUCUCUGUUUUACUCUGUUUGAAGGUUUCAAUUGCAGAGAUGUUGCAGAGAUGUUUUGACAGCUUGUGACAGAAAAGAAAUUCAGCAGCUGUGUCUCGACUCUAGCCACGAGGUAAGUCAAAACAAAUAUACUGGUUUGUAUGUUAUGUUGUUAUGCCCUUCUAUGUUUCAGACUUACAUUGCUGUGACUGUUCCACAGUGGGUCAAAAAAGAGACGAAUACAGGUUUCAAGAAGAAAAUUGGCUGUUGAAAACCUGCACAAAAUAUGAGGUAAGUAAACUAUUCUUUUGGUUUGUUUUGUGCUUUGUUAUGCUUAACUAUUUUUCAGAUUGGAAUGGUGGGUCGUUACAGAGCAGACUUUUGGACAACUGAGAAGUUGAGAAACAGAGAAUGAUUCAAGAUCAGCUAGGUAAGUCUUGAUUAUUGUGCAUUGCUAAAUGUUUUUUUUCAUUCCAGUAUGGCUGUGGUAAGUACACAAACUUUCUAUAAUUUAAUAUUGAACUGUUUUUAUGACCUGUAUUCUGCAUUGUAAAAUGUCUGUUUUUCAUUUCAGUAUCCUGUGGUAAGUACAAUUGCCUUCUUUAAUUUUCAUAUUGAACUGUUUUGAUGACUUGUAUACUACUAUGCAAUGCUUAAUGUUUUUUUCAUUUCAGUAGCCUGUUGGUAAGUACACUAACUUUCUAUAAUUUCAUAGUGAAUUGUUUUGAUGACCUG